GUAUCAAUAAGCGGAGGAAAAGAAACCAACAGGGAUUGCCUUAGUAACGGCGAGUGAAGCGGCAAGAGCUCAAAUUUGAAAUCUGGCCUUUGGCCCGAGUUGUAAUUUGGAGAGGAUGUUUCGGGCACCGCCCAGGCUUAAAUUUCUUGGAACAGAAUGUCAUAGAGGGUGAGAAUCCCGUCUGGAGCCGCGGUAGGACCCAUGUGAAACUCCCUCGACGAGUCGAGUUGUUUGGGAAUGCAGCUCAAAAUGGGUGGUAAAUUUCAUCUAAAGCUAAAUAUUGGCCAGAGACCGAUAGCGCACAAGUA
RNAcentral lists this ribosomal RNA (308 nucleotides) under uncultured Phialophora. RNAcentral describes it as "partial large subunit ribosomal RNA". It matches the Rfam family "Eukaryotic large subunit ribosomal RNA", at positions 40 to 350 of the family's 3401-position model. Lineage: Eukaryota; Fungi; Ascomycota; Leotiomycetes. The record is from RNAcentral.